Molecule: long non-coding RNA, 698 nt
Organism: Cucumis melo (muskmelon)
Lineage: Eukaryota; Viridiplantae; Streptophyta; Magnoliopsida; Cucurbitales; Cucurbitaceae
Exons: 2
Source: RefSeq, a predicted model, not a curated record
GCAGAUAAUAUAUUAUAAUACAUAUAGGACUGCGUUUAUUUACGUAAUCUACGAAGGAUUGUGAAUUGGGAAUGGACGGCCAAGCCAGCCAGCCACCGCUAAAGUCCACAACGUGGGCUGCCAAAGAUGCCAACUUGCAAUUUUCGGAUAGGGUUUUGAAACUCACAAAUGUUGGCUAUAAAAUGGCACAUUCCAUUGCUUAUAAAAUACCCAAAUCAAAAUUAAAAGGACAGAAAGAGUCUUCCAUACCAUACACAUAUCUACCCAACCUUCAACAUGGCUGAAGAAUCUGCUCAAAGAAAAACUCGAUGGCCAGAGCUUGUGUUUGUAGAAUUUUCUACUGCUGCUAGGAUAAUAGAAAAAGAGAAUCCCGAUGUGAAGGCCAUCAAAAUUCUAGCUGAUAGUCCCAGAAUUGAGAAUUUUGAUCCUAGUCGAGUUUGGGUUGAUUGCAAUGUAGAAGACAGGGUUGUUAAAGUGCCCAGCGUCGGUUAAAGAUUGGAUGGUGUUUAUAAGGUCAAUGAUAUGUAUAAAGUCUAUAUGCAUUAUGUCCAGGUGAAUUAUAUGCUUAAUUAAGUCAUUCCAAUAUUGUACUAAUAAGUGGUAUUUUUACCAUUUCAACUCUCAUUCAAGUGUGUUUAUUUGUAAUAAAUUGUUGAGUUAAUUGUUCCAAUAAACAUCAACAAAGACCUAUCUUUAGA